UGGGGAAUCUUGCACAAUGGGGGAAACCCUGAUGCAGCGACGCCGCGUGAGCGAUGAAGCCCUUCGGGGUGUAAAGCUCUUUCGACGGGAACGAUAAUGACGGUACCCGGAGAAGAAGCUGCGGCUAACUACGUGCCAGCAGCCGCGGUAAUACGUAGGCAGCGAGCGUUGUUCGGAAUUACUGGGCGUAAAGAGUGCGUAGGCGGUGCUCUAAGUUUGGUGUGAAAUCUCCCGGCUUAACCGGGAGGGUGCGCCGAAGACUGGAGUGCUUGAGUGUGGGAGAGGAAAGCGGAAUUCCUGGUGUAGCGGUGAAAUGCGUAGAUAUCAGGAGGAACACCUGCGGUGUAGACGGCUUUCUGGACCACGACUGACGCUGAGGCACGAAAGCGUGGGUAGCAAACAGGAUUAGAUACCCCCGUAGUCC
This 424-nucleotide ribosomal RNA is filed under the name uncultured bacterium. RNAcentral's name for it is "bacterial SSU rRNA". It matches the Rfam family "Bacterial small subunit ribosomal RNA", at positions 355 to 796 of the family's 1533-position model. The record is from RNAcentral.